GAUGAACGCUGGCGGCGUGCCUAAUACAUGCAAGUCGAGCGAACAGACGAGGAGCUUGCUCCUCUGACGUUAGCGGCGGACGGGUGAGUAACACGUGGAUAACCUACCUAUAAGACUGGGAUAACUUCGGGAAACCGGAGCUAAUACCGGAUAAUAUAUUGAACCGCAUGGUUCAAUAGUGAAAGACGGCUUUGCUGUCACUUAUAGAUGGAUCCGCGCCGCAUUAGCUAGUUGGUAAGGUAACGGCUUACCAAGGCGACGAUGCGUAGCCGACCUGAGAGGGUGAUCGGCCACACUGGAACUGAGACACGGUCCAGACUCCUACGGGAGGCAGCAGUAGGGAAUCUUCCGCAAUGGGCGAAAGCCUGACGGAGCAACGCCGCGUGAGUGAUGAAGGUCUUCGGACCGUAAAACUCUGUUAUUAGGGAAGAACAAAUGUGUAAGUAACUAUGCACGUCUUGACGGUACCUAAUCAGAAAGCCACGGCUAACUACGUG
This 497-nucleotide ribosomal RNA is filed under the name uncultured bacterium. Its description in RNAcentral is "partial 16S ribosomal RNA". It matches the Rfam family "Bacterial small subunit ribosomal RNA", at positions 28 to 507 of the family's 1533-position model. The record is from RNAcentral.